GUCCUGGUCCUGCCUCCAUGCCCAGGGACCCUGUGAUCCUCAGAUGUGAAGAUGGGGUAUUCUCAGUGAUCCUGACUGUUGGGAGUCGCCCCAGCUCCAAAGACUAACAUCCCCAUCCCCCAGAAGAGCCUUUCAAUGGUGAGCCCUGCUGGCUCACAAGAUCCUUACCCACCAAUCAGACUAUCCCUGCUGACUCACAUGAUCCUUAUCCACCAAUCAGAAAGCAUCCCGUGCCAACCGUCAAACCAUUAAACAGUUA
This 259-nucleotide long non-coding RNA is filed under the name Marmota monax (woodchuck). Lineage: Eukaryota; Metazoa; Chordata; Mammalia; Rodentia; Sciuridae. The record is from RNAcentral.